Molecule: ribosomal RNA, 468 nt
Filed under: uncultured bacterium
Lineage: Bacteria
Description: partial 16S ribosomal RNA
Rfam family: Bacterial small subunit ribosomal RNA
Source: RNAcentral
GACGAACGCUGGCGGCGUGCUUAACACAUGCAAGUCGAACGGAAAGGCCCUGCUUUUGGGGGGUGCUCGAGUGGCGAACGGGUGAGUAACACGUGAGUAACCUGCCCUUGACUUUGGGAUAACUUCAGGAAACUGGGGCUAAUACCGGAUAGGAGCUCCUGCUGCAUGGUGGGGGUGGGAAAGUGUCGGCGGUUGGGGAUGGACUCGCGGCUUAUCAGCUUGUUGGUGGGGUAGUGGCUUACCAAGGCUUUGACGGGUAGCCGGCCUGAGAGGGUGACCGGCCACAUUGGGACUGAGAUACGGCCCAGACUCCUACGGGAGGCAGCAGUGGGGAAUAUUGCACAAUGGGCGGAAGCCUGAUGCAGCAACGCCGCGUGCGGGAUGACGGCCUUCGGGUUGUAAACCGCUUUCGCCUGUGACGAAGCGUGAGUGACGGUAAUGGGUAAAGAAGCACCGGCUAACUACGUG